Molecule: ribosomal RNA, 433 nt
Filed under: uncultured bacterium
Lineage: Bacteria
Description: partial 16S ribosomal RNA
Rfam family: Bacterial small subunit ribosomal RNA
Source: RNAcentral
AGCGAACGCUGGCGGCAGGCUUAACACAUGCAAGUCGAACGCAUCCUUCGGGGUGAGUGGCAGACGGGUGAGUAACACGUGGGAACGUACCCUUCGAUCUGGGAUAACUUCGGGAAACUGGAGCUAAUACCGGAUACGCCCUUUUGGGGAAAGGCUUACUGUCGAAGGAUCGGCCCGCGUCUGAUUAGCUAGUUGGUGGGGUAACGGCCUACCAAGGCGACGAUCAGUAGCUGGUCUGAGAGGAUGAUCAGCCACACUGGGACUGAGACACGGCCCAGACUCCUACGGGAGGCAGCAGUGGGGAAUAUUGGACAAUGGGCGCAAGCCUGAUCCAGCCAUGCCGCGUGAGUGAUGAAGGCCUUAGGGUUGUAAAGCUCUUUUGUCCGGGACGAUAAUGACGGUACCGGAAGAAUAAGCCCCGGCUAACUUCGUG